AACGAACGCUGGCGGCAUGCCUAACACAUGCAAGUCGAACGAGACCUUCGGGUCUAGUGGCGCACGGGUGCGUAACGCGUGGGAACCUGCCCUUAGGUUCGGAAUAACUCCCCGAAAGGGGUGCUAAUACCGGAUAAUGUCUUCGGACCAAAGAUUUAUUGCCUUUGGAUGGGCCCGCGUUGGAUUAGCUAGUUGGUAGGGUAAAAGCCUACCAAGGCGACGAUCCAUAGCUGGUCUGAGAGGAUGAUCAGCCACACUGGGACUGAGACACGGCCCAGACUCCUACGGGAGGCAGCAGUGGGGAAGAUUGGACAAUGGGCGAAAGCCUGAUCCAGCAAUGCCGCGUGAGUGAUGAAGGCCUUAGGGUUGUAAAGCUCUUUUACCCGGGAUGAUAAUGACAGUACCGGGAGAAUAAGCUCCGGCUAACUCCGU
Molecule: ribosomal RNA, 432 nt
Filed under: uncultured bacterium
Lineage: Bacteria
Description: partial 16S ribosomal RNA
Rfam family: Bacterial small subunit ribosomal RNA
Source: RNAcentral